UACGUAGGGGGCUAGCGUUGUCCGGAAUCAUUGGGCGUAAAGCGCGCGUAGGCGGCCCGGUAAGUCCGCUGUGAAAGUCAAAAGCUCAACCUUUGAAUGUCAGUGGAUACUGCCGGGCUAGAGUCCGGAAGAGGCGAGUGGAACUCCUGGUGUAGCGGUGAAAUGCGCAGAUAUCAGGAGGAACACCGGUGGCGAAGGCGGGUCUCUGGGCCGAUAUUGACGCUGAGGAGCGAAAGCGUGGGGAGCGAACAGG
This 253-nucleotide ribosomal RNA is filed under the name uncultured bacterium. RNAcentral describes it as "partial 16S ribosomal RNA". It matches the Rfam family "Bacterial small subunit ribosomal RNA", at positions 524 to 776 of the family's 1533-position model. The record is from RNAcentral.